AUUGAACGCUGGCGGCAGGCCUAACACAUGCAAGUCGAACGAGUGGCGGACGGGUGAGUAAUGUCUGGGAAACUGCCUGAUGGAGGGGGAUAACUACUGGAAACGGUAGCUAAUACCGCAUACCAUCGGAUGUACCCAUGUGGGAUUAGCUAGUAGGUGGGGUAAAGGCUCACCUAGGCGACAAUCACUAGCUGGUCUGAGAGGAUGACCAGCCACACUGGGACUGAGACACGGUCCAGACGCCUACGGGAGGCAGCAGUGGGGAAUAUUGCACAAUGGGCGCAAGCCUGAUGCAGCCAUGCCGCGUGUAUGAAGAAGGCCUUAGGGUUGUAAAGUACUUUCAGCGGGGAGGCGUUACCCGCAGAAGAAGCACCGGCUAACUCCGUGCCAGCAGCCGCGGUAAUUC
This 406-nucleotide ribosomal RNA is filed under the name uncultured bacterium. Its description in RNAcentral is "partial 16S ribosomal RNA". It matches the Rfam family "Bacterial small subunit ribosomal RNA", at positions 30 to 526 of the family's 1533-position model. The record is from RNAcentral.